UUCAGAGAAAACACAGAGUCUAAUUUUAAGGCGAUUGUGUCUUAUUGGUCUAAGUAGAUGGCGGAAGCACAUAGCUUCCUCUCUCUGUCUCCCUUUGAUUUUGUGCUUAUGCUCUACUGUCCAUUUGUGCAGUUGCUUUGUGAGCUAUGGCUACUACUUGUGCUGCUAGAUGUGUGUGUUGGUUCUGCUGCUGCUGGUUGCUUGUGUUGCUGUUAUGUGUUAUACUGCUACUACCUGCUGCUGGUUGCUUCUUUAUUUGGUUAAUUGUGACACCGAAAAGCCUUUGUGAAAAGCAAAAAUUGAAGAUAAGGCCAUGAGAUGAUGAGAUGACCUUCAUUUUCAAUUUUUUAUUCAAUAAUUGAUGAAGGAUAUGUCAUUUAUUCAGUUGCUAACAUUUUUUCUAUGGUGUAUGUACCUGUCGUUCAUUGCAUUUGAGGGAGAGGACAACAAGAGUAAGAGAGCCUUGGGAUGCGAAGGCAGUAGCACGCAGCGCCAUGUCAAGCGCACUGACCUCGGCGACAAGAGACCAGUACACUUAACAAGAGUAAGAGAGCCUUGGGACAACACUGGACGAGGGCGUCGACUAAAGGAGCGCGAAGACGUCUUCCUCCAAAAUCUUGCCGAGGGUUCUUAAAUAUAUGUUCACCAAUUCAGAUGAACCGCUUCUUUUAUGUGCAUACUGGAUAUUGUCAUAUAUGUAGAAGGUUAUACAAUAUAUCAAAGCAAAACAAAACAGAGAGGAGGCUGGGGCUCGGGCAAGGGAGGCUGCGCUCCACCUCUGCAUACACGGAUGGAUGGAUGAUGAGCGCAGAUUCAGGCGCUGCAGCUCACCUCAGAGAUGCAUGGCCUAAAGAGGCAAAUCAUGCGUUAUUUUUCUUUGCCUUCUGCUUCCUCCGGCACUCUGAUUUUGAUUGACUAAUAUAUGGGCUUUCUAAAAUGUGUAUCUGCAAAUCUGGGAAAGAAGAGAAGGGAAGAAGGGGAAUCUAGCGAACAAAGGAAAUAAGAUAUCAGGACAAGGCUAGGAGAGAAGUAUGGUGAAAAGCAUUUUUUGCUUUGUUAAUGUUGUACAGGCAGUGGGAGCGCCAUUGAAGACCAUGGGCGCAGCUUGGUCGAGCUACAAUGAGCGCAUCUGAUUCCAACACAUCAAGGUGAGCUUCACACAUAGUUCCCUCUUCUAUCUAUUUCAGGCAAUGAGGGAUCAGUAGACGCCUAAUCUUGUUGUGGCCUCCUCUCAUAAGAACUUCUACAUCAUUGUAUGAAAAAUAGCUUUUCUUUGUCCAUGUUAUUAUCUAGGGAUGCCAACACAGAGAUGUUAUUGAUGCAUGUGAGCUGCUUUAACUGAUUGUAUCUUAGAAAUACCCCACAAUUUUGAAAACCAUGUAA
Long non-coding RNA from Triticum aestivum (bread wheat), 1383 nucleotides. RefSeq lists it as uncharacterized. The transcript is spliced from 4 exons. The record is from RefSeq and is a predicted model, not a curated record. NCBI's taxonomy places the organism in Eukaryota, Viridiplantae, Streptophyta, Magnoliopsida, Poales, Poaceae.